This 2125-nucleotide long non-coding RNA is filed under the name Homo sapiens (human). RNAcentral describes it as "HSALNT0379782". Lineage: Eukaryota; Metazoa; Chordata; Mammalia; Primates; Hominidae. The record is from RNAcentral.
CAGUCUCCGGGGAGUUUGACUUCUAUAGGGAGGGAGGGAGGCGAUGUGUUUCUGCACUUUGCUUCUUCAGUCAGACAUUCUGUGACUUCUUCAUUUCCUUCCGCUCCUCUUCAAGCCCUGGCAUGUUGGCUCAGAAGCACAAGAGGGCAGGAUAAUCCUCACUGUCUCAUUCACACUGACUGAAACCCUGGGCUUUGAAAUACAGACUCACUCCUCCCAAGCUCUACUCUGAUGCUGGGAGCAAUUUAGAGCAAAUGUUAUCCAAAGUGACAUUACCUAGAUCACUAGGUUCUUUCUUUCACCCUCCUCCAAUCCUGCUGUUCUUUCACUUCUAAGUCAAGGAAACUCCAAGUUUACACUUUGCAGGAGCCCCUGGAAUAUUUGGGGUUUCAUAUUGCACAUCAAAACUAUUUCUCACUGACCCAAUCAUCUAUUAAAAAUCUUGUUGAAUUUCUGCCAUUUUAAUGGCUAUCUGCCUUCAUAUGAAGUUCUUGGUAUUAUAAUAGUCAGUGUGCUUCCAAAUUAAUCCCAAUUCGUUUACUUUUACUUUAAGAUGAAAUGUAGGCAGAGCACAGUGGCUCACACCUGUAAUCCCAGCACUUUGGGAGGCCAAGGCGGGUGGAUCAUGAGGUCAGGAGUUCAAGACCAGCCUGGCCAACAUAGUGAAACCCUGUCUCUACUAAAAAUAGAAAAAAAAAAAACAGCCAGGCAUCGUGGCAGGCACCUGUAAUCCCAGCUACUUGGGAUUCUGAGGCAAGGAGAAUCGUUUGAACCUGGGAGGUGGUGGAGGUUGCAAUGAGCCGAAGUCGCGCCACUGCACUCCAGCCUGGGUGACAGUGCAAGACUCCGUCUCAAAAAAAAAAAAAAAAAAAGAAGAAGAAAUGUAGCUUAGAAACCAUUCUUCCAUAAAACCAAAACCAUAUCUCCUUAAGAGGAUGUUGGAAAAUCAGCCUUUCUCAUAAAGUAGUUUUCCCCACAAGUUUAAACACAUUACUCCACUAUAAGUUUAGAGACUAUUUUAAAAAACUAUUAUGCUUCAGCUUUUCCUGCAGUUCUCUCUUUCUUGUCUCUUACAUACUUCUCUGUGAUCUGGUCCAACAAUUAUUGCCAUGGCAACAAAGGCUCUGUGACAUCUCUAGCAAGCUCAUUGUCUUCUGCCUUAUUAAACUUUAAUGGGUAACUAGUAGACAGUAACACUCUGGGAGGGCUCAAACCACAUAACCAAAUGUGCCAAGAUAAUCCUGAGCUCACUAUUGUCAGUCCUGAAGAUUUUCCUCAGAUAAUCUUUCAUCUCUUUGUUCCUGAGACUAUAUAUUAGAGGAUUACAGAGUGGUGUUAUCACAGAAAAGAACAAGUGGAUUUUUAUCUGAGAUCUACAACUUAUGAAGAAUACAAAUGAUGUAUAUUCUUUUCUACUCUUCAUGUAUGGACUAGAGGGGCUUGCACAGUAGUAAGAAAAAAAUGGCUGAGACCCACAGGAACAAAGAAACAGGACAGGAGUUAGAUGCAGAGAAGAGAUUUCAACAAAAGUUUGGAAAAGAUGCUAACGGUAGCAUAUGAGUCACAGACAGAACAUUGGCACCUUUGUUUAAGAAACUGAAUGUUAAUGUCACAUCUGCCUUUGGAGAUUACAAAUGAAAUGGCUACCUUUCUACUGGAACCCUGACCAGAAGUCUGCCAGUUAGUAAGCUGGCUUAAGAGAUCAAUCUAAAAUUUACAUAAGGCUUUUGAAAAAAAGAAAAAACCCCUGAAAUGCUCAUAGACUUCUUUGUGGAGAGGAAGAUAAUUUCUUUUGAUGGAUGCAUUGCACAGCUCUUCUUCUUACACUUUGCUGGGGCUUCGGAGAUGUUCUUGCUCACAGUGAUGGCCUUUGACCUCUACACUGCUAUCUGCCGACCCCUCCACUAUGCUACCAUCAUGAAUCAACGUCUCUGCUGUAUCCUGGUGGCUCUCUCCUGGAGGGGGGGCUUCAUUCAUUCUAUCAUACAGGAACCCAAAGGCACAGAUUGACGUUAUAAGUCCUGAUUUUUGACUUGACUUCUCAUCACCUGGAAGUGAAUAAAGCAGUAGACUUCUCUAACAUUUUGUAACACAGCAUGAAAAAAUAUAGAGUACAAAAGAUAUA